UUCAGUAGUACUGGAUUCUAUGUGAGUCAAAAUAGCAAAACCUUUAUUUAAUAUCGUUGGCUUCUUCUUCUUUAAAAGGAGCUAGCUGGUGGUAUAUGAGCUACCUACUACAUUCCAGUCCAGCCUGGGCUACAGUGUACUGCUGCGUCACCAAGGAUGACCUUGAAUUCCUCUGACCUUCCUGCUUCCACCUCCUGGUGCUCAGAUUAGACAGACACCAAAACUUCUCCCUGCCUGGAGUUCCUCAGAGAGGAAAGAAUGCACGGUACGCGCAGAGAGGGAGUGGCGGUGGAAAGAUGCCCAAGAAUGUGAAAUCAACAGACCUGAGCCUACUAGCCGGAAGGGUGUGAACACAAAACCCCUUCCAGAAAAACCAAACCAGAACCAUGCGACCGAGGGGGUGAAAUGAGACAGAGAGAAAGGAAGAGGAAAGAACACCUUUGGCAACACUACCCAGCCAGCGUGUAAUAGAAUCUGCAUUUGGCUGCAGAAUCUUGGACUGAUUCCAGUUCAGGAAAUACCAACGAAGGUGCCAGAGACACAAGGCCAGAGGGGCCGUAGCGUUUGGAAUGCAAGCACUGAAUUCCAGAAAUCGGAAAUUUUCUAACAGGCCACCAGAUGGCCUCACUUUUCAGAACCAUUUUAUAGAGUCUGGUUUUAGACCGGUAAACUUUGCAAAGAAUGACUUGGAAAUCAUGAU
Molecule: long non-coding RNA, 700 nt
Organism: Alexandromys fortis (reed vole)
Lineage: Eukaryota; Metazoa; Chordata; Mammalia; Rodentia; Cricetidae
Exons: 3
Source: RefSeq, a predicted model, not a curated record